UAAUAACAAAAUUAAGGGUUUUUCCUUUUCCAACGUUUUGCUGAAAAAGCGAGAAAUCAAAGUAAAGGCAGAGUGUCUGUCUAUCUUGGUCGUCGAAAUCCAUGGCUUCUUCUCUUCUCAGGCCAACUCCAUUACUCUCUACACCUCAUAAAUUAUCUCAUCUUCACACCUCUCUCUCUUUCCCAUCCGAAAUUUCGACUCAGAGAAACCCACAUAAUCAUCUUCUCAAUCUAUGUCGUUCGUCAUCAACACCAUCACAGCAAAAGACCUCACAGAGGAAGAGAACAAGGUACAGGAAACAGUACCCAGGAGAAAACAUUGGUAUAACUGAGGAAAUGAGAUUCGUCGCCAUGAGAUUACGCAAUGUUAAUGGAAAAAAACUGGAUCUUUCUGGUGAUAAAACUGAACAAGAAGAAGAAGAAGAUGAAGUAAAGGAAGAGACAUGGAAACCGAGCAAAGAAGGCUUUCUUAAGUACUUAGUUGAUAGCAAGCUUGUCUUCGAUACUAUUGAACGAAUUGUGGACGAAUCUGAGAAUGUUUCUUAUGCUUACUUCAGGAGAACAGGAUUAGAGAGAUGUGAAAGUCUUGAGAAGGAUCUACAAUGGUUUAGAGGACAAGAUUUGGUUAUACCAGAACCAAGUAAUAUAGGAGUUUCUUAUGCAAAGUAUUUGGAAGAACAAGCAGGGCAAAGUGCACCUUUGUUUCUUUCUCAUUUCUACAGUAUCUACUUUUCACAUAUUGCUGGUGGUCAAGUUAUUGUAAGACAGGUAUCUGAGAAGCUUCUGGAAGGAAAGGAGCUGGACUUCAAUAGGUGGGAAGGGGAUGCACAAGACUUGCUUAAAGGCGUCCGUGAGAAGCUUAACGUGCUUGGGGAGCACUGGACUCGGGACGAGAAGAACAAAUGCUUGAAGGAAACAGCAAAGGCGUUUAAGUAUAUGGGGCAGAUAGUUCGCUUGAUCAUCUUGUAAAAAUCUCGGUUUAAAAAUUAACAAUUCCUAGCACCAGAUCUGUGUUAACUAUGGCAUUGGCUUACCACAGGCAUUACCACAGGCAUUGUGCUCUCGCUAAUUCAGGACAGUGCUGGAACUGAAGCUGAUGACCACCAGCCUCCAUGGCUGAAAGAGCAACUUUCUGUUAUUUGUUGGUUUAAGUCAGCGGUAAAGAAAAGCAACCGAAUUACUAAUUGAAAAAUGUAGCCAAAGGUUGUGGACUUGUGGGCUUGUGGCCUUUGUCUGAGGAUUGAUAUGAGAUAUUGUUGUUCCUUUUCUGGUAAACAUGUGAAGAUUUUGUUGUUCCUCAGUUUUAACUUAAAUUUUGGGGAUUUGAACACU
RNA transcript from Arabidopsis lyrata subsp. lyrata, 1331 nucleotides. It is a transcript of the gene named probable inactive heme oxygenase 2, chloroplastic, with no coding region annotated. Lineage: Eukaryota; Viridiplantae; Streptophyta; Magnoliopsida; Brassicales; Brassicaceae. The transcript is spliced from 5 exons. The record is from RefSeq and is a predicted model, not a curated record.